GGACGAACGCUGGCGGCGUGCCUAACACAUGCAAGUCGAACGAGAAUCUGUGGAAAGAGGCUUCGGCCAAUGGAAGCAGAGGACAGUGGCGAACGGGUGAGUAACGCGUGAGCAACCUGCCUUUCAGAGGGGGACAACAGCUGGAAACGGCUGCUAAUACCGCAUAAUGUAUAUUAAGGGCAUCCUUGAUAUACCAAAGAUUUAUCGCUGAAAGAUGGGCUCGCGUCUGAUUAGAUAGUUGGUGGGGUAACGGCCUACCAAGUCGACGAUCAGUAGCCGGGUUGAGAGACUGACCGGCCACAUUGGGACUGAGAUACGGCCCAGACUCCUACGGGAGGCAGCAGUGGGGAAUAUUGGGCAAUGGGGGAAACCCUGACCCAGCAACGCCGCGUGAAGGAAGAAGGCUUUCGGGUUGUAAACUUCUUUUACCAGGGACGAAGAAAGUGACGGUACCUGGAGAAAAAGCUCCGGCUAACUACGUG
RNAcentral lists this ribosomal RNA (482 nucleotides) under uncultured bacterium. RNAcentral's name for it is "bacterial SSU rRNA". It matches the Rfam family "Bacterial small subunit ribosomal RNA", at positions 27 to 507 of the family's 1533-position model. The record is from RNAcentral.